RNA transcript from Anolis carolinensis (green anole), 11869 nucleotides. It is a transcript of the gene named protocadherin 10, with no coding region annotated. The record is from RefSeq and is a predicted model, not a curated record. The transcript has 6 exons. Lineage: Eukaryota; Metazoa; Chordata; Lepidosauria; Squamata; Anolidae.
UUGCGGGGGGCUCCGGGGUGGGGGCGGGAAGAGGCCGUGCCGGCCGCCGGGAAGGAGGGGGAUCUCUUUCCCCGCCUGGAGAUGGUGGUGCUAUUCCUGCCCUUGGCCUUCAUCUGGAUGGUGUCGGGGGUCCUGGCGCAGCUUCACUACACCGUGCAGGAGGAGCAGGAGCAUGGCGCUUUCGUGGGCAACAUCGCCGAGGACCUGGGCUUGGACAUCACCAAACUUUCCGCGCGGCGCUUCCAGACGGUGCCCAACUCGCGCAGCCCGUACCUGGACCUCAACCUGGAGACCGGGGUGCUGUACGUGAGCGAGAAGAUCGACCGCGAGCAGAUCUGCCGGCAGAGCCCCUCCUGCCAGCUCCACCUGGAGGUCUUCCUGGAGAACCCGCUGGAGCUCUUCCGCGUGGAGGUGGAGGUGCUGGACCUCAACGACAACCCGCCCGCCUUCCCGGAGCCCGACCUGACGGUGGAGAUCUCCGAGAGCGCCACGCCGGGCACGCGCUUCCCGCUGGAGAGCGCCUUCGACCCCGACGUGGGCACCAACGCGCUCCGCACCUACGAGAUCACCCCCAACGCCUUCUUCUCGCUCGACGUGCAGACGCAGCCCGACGGCAACCGCUUCGCCGAGCUGGUGCUCUCCAAGCCGCUGGACCGCGAGCAGCAGGCGCUGCACCGCUACGUGCUGACGGCGGUGGACGGCGGGCAGCCCGCGCAGCGCACCGGGACCGCGCUGCUCACCGUCCGCGUCCUCGACUCCAACGACAACGUGCCGGCCUUCGAGCAGCCCGUCUACACGGUGGCGCUGCCCGAGAACUCCCCGCCGGGCACGCUGGUGCUGCAGCUCAACGCCAGCGACCCGGACGAGGGCCAGAACGGCGAGAUCAUCUACUCCUUCAGCAGCCACAUCUCGGCCCGCGCCCGCGAGCUCUUCGGCAUCUCCCCGCGGACGGGCCGGCUGGAGGUGAGCGGCGAGCUGGACUACGAGGAGAGCGCCGUCUACCAGGUGUACGUGCAGGCCAAGGACCUGGGCCCCAACGCCGUCCCGGCCCACUGCAAGGUGCUGGUGCGCGUCCUGGACGCCAACGACAACGCGCCCGAGAUCAGCUUCUCCACCGUCAAGGAGGCCGUCAGCGAGGCGGCGGCGCCGGGCACCGUGGUGGCGCUCUUCAGCGUCUCGGACCGCGACUCCGAGGAGAACGGGCAGGUGCAGUGCGAGCUGCUCCAAGGGGACGCCCCGUUCCGGCUCAAGAGCUCCUUCAAGAACUACUACACCAUCGUCACCGAGGCGCCGCUGGACCGCGAGCAGCCCGGCGGGGAGGCCUACACGCUGACGGUGGUGGCGCGCGACAUGGGCCGCCCCUCGCUCAGCGCCAGCAAGUCCAUCCAGGUGCGCGUCAGCGACGUCAACGACAAUGCGCCCCGCUUCUCGCAGCCCCUCUACCAGGUCUAUGUGAGCGAGAACAACGUGCCCGGCGCCUACAUCUACGCCGUCAGCGCCGCCGACCGCGACCAGGGCGCCAACGCGCAGCUGGCCUACGCCAUCCUGGAGAGCCAGAUCCAGGGCAUGUCGGUCUUCACCUAUGUCUCCAUCAACGCCGAGAACGGCUUCCUCUACGCGCUCCGCUCCUUCGACUACGAGCAGCUCAAGGAGUUCAGCUUCCAGGUGGAGGCCCGGGACGCCCCGCGACGGCGAGGCGAGGAAAAGCCGCCGGGCGCGGAGGAGGAGCAGGAGGAGGAGGAGGAGGAGGCCGCGCUCUCCGGCAACGCCACAGUCCACAUCGUGGUGGUGGACCAGAACGACAACGCCCCCGCCAUCGUCAGCCCGCUGCCCGGCCGCAACGGCACCCCGGCCAGGGAGGUCCUGCCCCGCGGCGCCGAGCCGGGCUAUUUGGUGACUCGCGUGGCCGCCGUGGACGCGGACGACGGCGAGAACGCGCGCCUGACCUACAGCAUCGCACGGGGCAACGAGGCCAGCCUCUUCCGCAUGGACUGGCGCACCGGGGAGCUGCGCACCGCCCGCAAAGUGCCCGCCAAGCGCGACCCGCAGCGCCCCUACGAGCUCGUCAUUGAGGUCCGCGACCACGGGCAGCCGCCGCUCUCCUCCACCGCGGCGCUCCACGUGGUCUUGGUGGACGGCGCCGUGGAGCGGCAGGGGGCGGGCGGCGGCGGGAGCGGGGUCGGAGUCCCGGGCCCCGGGGCCUCCGGAGCGGGAGGAGCGGGCCCCGGGGGAGAGCACCGGCCCAGCCGCGCCGGGGGCGCCUCCGCGGGCGAAAGCUCGCUGGACCUCACGCUCAUCCUCAUCAUCGCCCUGGGCUCCGUCUCCUUCAUCUUCCUGCUCGCCAUGAUCGUCCUGGCCGUGCGCUGCCAGAAGGAGAAGAAGCUCAACAUCUACACCUGCCUGGCCAGCGACUGCUGCCUCGCCUGCUGCUGCUGCUGCCCCUGCUGCAGCCGCCAGGCCCGCGCCCGCAAGAAGAAGCUCAGCAAGUCCGACAUCAUGCUGGUGCAGAGCUCCAACGUGCCCAGCAACCCGGUGCAGGGCGUCCCCGCCGAGGAGCCGGCCGGCUUCGGGUCCCACCACCACAACCAGAACUACUGCUAUCAGGUCUGCCUCACGCCCGAGUCGGCCAAGACCGACCUGAUGUUCCUCAAGCCCUGCAGCCCCUCCCGGAGCACCGACGCCGAGCACAACCCCUGCGGGGCCAUCGUCACCGGCUACGCUGACCAGCAGCCCGACAUCAUCUCCAACGGCAGCAUCUUGUCCAGCGAGACUAAACACCAGCGUGCUGAGCUCAGUUAUCUAGUUGAUAGACCACGGCGAGUAAACAGUUCUGCAUUCCAGGAAGCAGACAUAGUAAGCUCUAAGGACAGUGGUCAUGGAGACAGCGAGCAAGGAGACAGUGAUCAUGACGCCACUAAUCGAGGUCAAUCCUCUGGCAUGGAUCUCUUCUCUAAUUGCACGGAGGAAUGUAAAGCUUUGGGCCACUCGGAUCGGUGCUGGAUGCCCUCUUUUGUCCCUUCCGAUGGACGCCAGGCUGCGGAUUAUCGCAGUAAUCUUCAUGUACCCGGUAUGGACUCUGUUCCAGACACUGAAGUGUUUGAAACACCAGAAGCCCAGCCAGGGGCAGAGAGGUCCUUCUCCACCUUUGGCAAAGAGAAGGCCCUUCACGGCACUUUGGAGAGGAAGGAACUGGAUGGACUGCUGUCUAAUACACGAGCGCCUUACAAACCACCAUAUUUGAGUAAGUACUGUUCCAAAGGCUGCUAAAGUGUAUUCCGUUGAUGGGAAUCGAGCUCCAUUCCCCAGUGUGCUUGCUAGGAGUAGAGAAGUAUGCCAGAGGCAAUAGGGGGGAAACCCUGAAUCCCUUUGGAUUGAGAAUCACUGAAGAGAGCAAUGUUGAUUUUUUUUUUUAAAAAAAAAACAAACAAACACCUAUGGCGUUUUAAAUUUAUCACUUCUAGGACCUUGUUGAAGAUGGAUCUGUAAAAACGAAAUGCCUGUGCUGAUUUUUCCUGGAACUGAUGCCUUAGUGAUUUUUUUCCAAGUAAAUAAUUAGCAAGACAAGUAUUUCUUCAUAUUUGUAGCUAUCUGUGGUGCCUCUUGAUUGAAACUUCUUGCUACACCAAACUGUUUUAUACCACGGAUGGUUUGUUCCCAUUGAACAAGGCUUGGAGAUCAUCCUAUGCCUUGCCAUUUGUGGAUCUCAAAGUGGAUUAUAAAAGAAUAGUGAUUUUAAGACCUGCAGAUCCUCUGUGAGAUAGCACGGAAAAGGAUAUGCUAGUCAAUUCUACGGGACUUACCUGAAGCAGCAUGAUUUGCACAAAAGUCGACCAACAAAAGCAUCAACUUUUCAACUUCAUUAUCUUGGCCAUCUGUGUUAACAGAAAGAAUUACUGUGCUGUUGGAGACAUCCUGGCCAAUAAUAGGACCUAACUGCUCUCAGCAGGCCUGAGAAAUGAGUUGAAAUGUAUGGAACUGUAGAAACUUCAAGGGGCAACUGAUUUUUUGCCUCUCUGAUCAGUGUGUGCCUGUUUACAGCACUAUAUAGCUCUCUCUUUCUGUUUCUCUCUCCAAAAUGUCACUGAGCCCUUUAGAUGUUUAUAUUCGCCACAAGAAGCCAAUCGUACAGAUUUUAAAAAUGGAAACAUGCAUUAUAAAUGCAAUAUCACUGUUUUAAACUUGACUGUUUUAUAUUAUUUUUGUGUGAUCAAGUGUCUCCCAAACUAUUCCAACUUUACAAAAGAAAUUGUGAAUCAUGUUCUUUUCACCUGUGGGUCAUGAAAAUGUUGUUAAUCUGCAGGCCCACAAAAUAUCAAAGACAUUCUGUAGUUUAUACACCGUGUUGCAAAGUGUUUACUGUACUAUUUCAAAGCUUCUAAAUAAAUAUAAAAUAUAUAUUAUAUUACAUAUAAUUUUCCGGGAAAUGUGGUACCAUUUAGUUGAUUUUUAAAUGAAUUCAUACAGUGCGCACCAUACACUAAAGUGAGAAGGUAAUUCAGGGUCCUUAAAUUAUCCUUGCCUAAAAAUAAAAGAAAUCUUUAAUAAUACUUCCCCCGUUUUUGUACUUUGGUCAAUCCUGUUUGUCCUUGUUAAAAAAAAGAAAAGAAAAGAAAAAUGAGCUGUAAGCAACAACAUUUUUUUCUGAAAGUUGUACUGAAUUUUCAAUGCCAAAGAUACAGCUGUCAAUAAUUAUGAAAUUUAGCACUGACUAUGUACUAUCAAAGUAUAUAUAUUUCAACCACCACCAUUUUGAUUCUAUUUCUAUGGUUUUUAAUUUGGAGUCAAGAAAUCUUUUUAUAAAGGCUCUAUAAACUCACAUGUAUAUGUUGUUAAAAAGUACACUUGGUGUCUGUGCAUUUUGCAAUGUAUAUGAUGUAAGUGAGGAUAACUAUUUUAAGGAAAUCUCCCUACACACACACACACCUGACUUAUAUCAUUUUGUGACAUAGUUUUAUACCAACGUAUCUUUCCAUGCUGGUUCAGAAAUAUUACUGGAGAAAGGCUCAUCAUAGCUGCAUCCUUUUAUUUGAAUUUAUCCCUUCAAUAUAAAAGCAAUUUGAAAUUAGAAGUAGCCUAUAUAUCUUUUCACUGGUAACCAGGUUAAUCCCGCAUGUGUUGUUUUAUAGUAAUUUUGUGUUUUGGAGUAUCUCAGAAAGAUAUUUUUAUUAGAAAAAAUAAAUUGACAAAAUCUGAAAAUGUUGCGAAGUAAAGGUCACCUUUACUUUCAUGUUCUCUAAUUAUAAGUAUCAUUGAGGGAAAGUGAAAUGUAGUAAGAAUAAUUUCUUCUGUCCUUAUUUACUCCCAUACACUGCUGUGUUUUGUCAUGACGACUGUUUUCAAAAGAAAUGAUAAAAUCAUGUCUGAUAACAACAUUUACUUUAGUUGGAGAUAAUUAGUGGACACACUUCCCUUUUGUAUCAGUUGAAAAGAAUUGAUUUUGUUUUGGACACUUUGGAGUCAAACGCAAGGAGCAUCAAAGUGCAUUUUUACACUGAAUAUUGCUCACAGGGUAUCGCAUGACUCAGUGUAAUUCAGAAUGGGAAAAAUGUUCCAUAAGCUUCUUAAAAAGUGAAAAUACAGUUGAUGUAGGACUCCAUGUCUGUGGGAAAGGAUACAUUAAAAUCCCAUAUGUGCAGGAUUCCCUAGUAACCUCAAUAGAGUGGAGAGUUCUUUGUAUGCAUAUCUUUGGACUUUCACAUGUAUGCAUAUGGAGAUUAUGUAUCCAGUGGGGCCAUGAAUCCAGUCCAAAUCUUCGUUCCCCCUUGAAAAUAGCUAUCCAGGGUGCUGAAUCCUAUAUCCUAAACAGGUUCAACAUUAUGAAUAGUUCUGUUAAGUUUGUUUGAACCAAACUUCUGGCAGAUUCACAGCUCUCCUAAAUACAUUCAGCAUUGUGAAUCAAUUUCUUAAAAUUUGUUUGAACUAAAACUUCUGGCAGAUUCACAGUUUUGCAGCUUUCAGAGCAUCCAACUUCCAGUGUAUGCAUCACAGCCCUAAUGCUUAGUAUAUGUUCCAGAUCAGACUAACUCUAGAAUAAAAAGUAGAGUUUACUCUUUCAAUACUUUUCUCCCAAAUACCCACUGAUUGACUGGGAAUUUUGUGUGUAUAUUUCAUCAAGAGUUAAGUUGUGUGUGUGUGUCUGUGUGAUGUUACUUACCAAGGUUUAAUCAGGAAAAGGAAAUAAUUUGUCAGUGAUUAUUUCUAAACUAUUUUAAAAUUAACAGCUAUUUCUUGGGAUCCUUUUAAAAAUGUGUAUGAUAUAUAUAAAUCAUAGGAAAAAGCACAGAAAAAUAUUCAUCAAUUGGAGCAAACACAGCCGUAAAGUCUUCUUUAGCUUUAGGUAACAGGAGUAUUAGUCACCUCUAUGCCUUGUUAGUUUCACAGGAGGAGGGGGGGAAAUUGGCUAUUUUAGUAAUGAAAUGUGUAGAUGAUAUAUCAUUGGGUAAAGUCUGUCAAGUUGUUGCUGCGUUUAAAAGAGGAAACUGAAUGCUCAUUUGGGAAAUUGUUUUGCUUUAUUUUUACAACCUCUAUAUACAGAGGUGAAUAUUGUAACUUAAGGUUGUUUCUUGUCCUGUUGAGAAGAGGGGAUCACAUUUUGUUCUUUUAUAGACUAUUAAAGUGUCUUUAUCUACUGAAAAUCUCCCUCACAUUUUGCAUGCACUUUUUGGAGAAAAAUAUUUAUGAUAAGUAAGAUUUUAACCUGUCUCUAGUGCAUUUAUUUCAUUCCUUUCUCUGUACAAUGGACUAGGAGAAAUAGGCCUGUAUGUGUAUUCAUUUCAUGCUUUAGCCAUUCCUUCUUCUAUUUAUGUAUGUGAGCAGUACAAGUGAGGUCAGUGGGACCCUUACAUGUGGAAACAAGAUUGACCUGUCAUCAUUCUUUUUCAUUACUACAAGGGGAAACCAUUCACAAUCUGUUUGGUUCUCUCCUAUUUGCUAGUGGAAAGAAAAGCUAACAAUUGUCUUUUAAUGUGAUAAAAUUACUGGAAAGUGACUUGUGGCAUCAAUAUUACCAUCAUGAAUAUUUCAUUUGAAUUUUUUCCCUCUACAAUUUCUGGCAUUUGCUGGCUGGAAAAUAUUAUUUUAAAACCUAGAUUUUAAUCUGAUAGAACAUGAUGCAAAUGAAAUUAUUCACCAAAUGAAAUGUAUAUGGUAAAAAAAAAUCACAAUCAAAUAACCAGGUCAAAACAAAAACAUAUGAACCAUGCCUUCUUUUUUACUGUUCAAGACAUCAAGUAUACACCUACAGCUACUACACAGGCAAAAAUUAGUCCAAAGUAAAUUAAUUGUUGAGUUCAUUCUCAAUUCAUGAAUUGUCAGGAUAAAGGAAAACAAAAUAUUCUCAUUUACUUGUGGUAACCAUUUAGAACAGAAUUAGGUUUAUUCCAAGAUUGUUAAUUCCUUAUAUUACAACUGAAACCAUUUAAGGAAGCUUUCACAUAGCUUACAAAAUUAUAUGAAAAAAUUCUGAUUGACAUUUAAAAGCCCCAGGUAAAACCAUGGCAGUCUUGAUAUCAGGCAGCAUCUACUUAAAAGAAAACAAUGUUGUACAUAUUUCUUAAUGCCAUAUGUUUCCACACAAAUUGAAAUUUGGUAGGAUAACUUUUAGAAUUGGUAGUUUGCAUUUAACAUGUAUUUUUAAAAUGAUUUUCAUGUACAUAUUAGAUAAUUCAAGCACAUUGCUUUGAAUUUUCACCACAUUUGUAUACAUGCAUAACAAAAUCAGGCAAUAUAAGUUGUUUUCUUUUUAAAGAAGCUAAAGAUGUGUGUGUGUGUGUGUGUGUGUGUGUGUGUGUGUGUGAAUGGUUUUUUUUUAAAGUUCCUUAGAGGUAAACAAUAAAAUAAUUACUUUAUUUCUUUUCUGGGUUAUAUUCAUAAAGAUAAAACCACAUUUCUCAGUUUUGCAACCAUAUAUACAACCAGAAAUGUAUUAUCGCAAUCAGGUCACAAUAUGAGCAAUGCAUGUGGUACAAAUUCUGCUCUCUUUUACUCAGCUGAGUAAGCUUUCCAAAGUACUUAAUCAUGCAAAAAUAAACACUUUCUUUGUCUCCAGCUAUGAAUGAUGGAGAAGCCACAAUUUUGACAGUUACUGGUUUAUCUCAUUCUUGCCAGCAUAGUUAAAUAGUAACUAUUUUUGCUUGCUUCAUCAGUAGGGACACUAAAAUAAAUGCACUAUCACAUGUAAUGGAGCUGUCUGAUAUCAAGUUGGAUAUCCAACUAAGAUGAGAACUGACUGACAAAAGUGGCUGUCUAGAUUUUAUGAAGUUCCAGCUUUGACAGUUAAAUUGGUUCAACUGAUUCUUGCUAUUUUUGCUUGCUUCAUCAGUUUGAAUGCUAAGAAAACUCACUAUCAUGAGCUGGAGAACUGCAAAGUUAGAUCUUUACUCCAAGCAGAUUGAGACAAAAGUAACUGGCUAGAUUUUAUGGAAGAGUCUUUACUAUUCCAACGCAGAGAAGCCAGAAACUGAACCAGACAUAAGUAUGUAUGUGUGCCCGAAGUUCCUAAAUGGAAAGGGACAUGCAUGCACUGCCACUCCUAUUAAAGUACAAAAGAAGUAUGCACAAGGAAUUGUUUUUAUUUAAUCAAAACAACCAGAAGAAUUUGGGGUUGGUUGCAGAGAUAGGUUCUAUAAUAAACUAAAAUAAAUGGCUUCCGAGCACAAUUCUUUGUUGAGCGUUAUUCUCAUCUCCCCAGCCAUGUAACUGCUUAAAUGACUGUGGCUGCAAUAUUAAUCUCCACAAUUGCAUCUGAAGUAGAUUUAAAUCCAUGGCAUUUCAUGCUAAAAUAAAUCAGUUGGCCUUAAAUGUGAUUAGAUUCUGCAGCCUAUUAGACUAUCCCCAUUAAUUUCAUUGUGCUUUGGUCAAGAGCUCUCCCACUUCUUAGUAUGCAUUUUACAAUCCUGAAAGUCAUAACUAAUGUCUAAACAUAAGUAUUUACACUUGCACCAGAAAGUAUUGCCAGCAGAAGAUUAAAAGAAGAAGGAAAUUGUUUAAUCUGUUUGCCCAAUGUAAACAGCCCAAAAAAGACCUCAAAGAUCCCAUACAAGUAAGGCUGGGAAAUCUCUUCAAGACCUCUUCCAUCUUAUUUUUCUUCUUUACUAAUUUGGAAUUAAGUAUUGGUAUAAAACUGAUAUACUCAACUAUAGAUACUGGCUUUGUCCCACAGACACAGUUCAGAUCCAUUGCUGGGUAUCUGUGCCUUUGUAGAUACUAUUCUGGGUCAUAGGCGAGAACAAAUUUGGACAGCUUUCAUGAACUGAAAUUGUGUGAGAAUUUGUCAAAUAAAGUUCAAUCAUUAGACUUGAGCUGACUAGAAAAACAAAGCAAAGUUCUGUGUUUAUAGUUUUCUCAAAAGAAAAUACAUUCAGUUCAAAGCAUCCCAUGCUGGGAAGGGAAAUACAUUUUAUCUUAACAAAUUGGGAUGUGUGUGCCUUUUUCUUUCUUUUCUUUUCUUUUUAACCCCAAAGCAUUUAACUGUGUGAAACUUAAAUAGUCAUUUCGUGCUUACUCCAUCACAUUUAUAGGAAGCAGUUUCAUAACACUCUUACCAUUAAAUGUUGUUUUCAGAUUCAUUAAUAGACCUUCAGUAAAGCCAGUCUUUUAAAAAGAUAUUUGUAAAAUACUAAUCAAGAAAUCCUGAUCCAUCCUAUAAAAUAGUUUCAGAAAUACCAAUUUUAAUGAAAUUGUCUUGACAUUCCAAUUUAAACUCUAAAUCUAAUUGCUAAUCCUGACUACAGUAGUCCCAGUAAAGCAAUAUAUUUAUAUAUAUCUUGAUUUUAUUAUCCUUUGAGUCAGUGGGUCUUCUCAGGUUGGGUCUAACAACUGUAUUUUGACCUAUAGUUUCAUGCUACCUAUGUUGGCUACCAGGUAUGCUUUGUCCAUGAAAGACACCGAAUAACAAUGAUGGCUACAUGGUCAACCAGAUUUCUCCCACAGUCAUGUAUGUGAAAGGGGUGUGUAUGAAUUGUGGAACUAAGGAGUGAUUUUCACUAUGUUUUUCUUUUUUGUGUGAAUUAAAGUUUUUGCAUCCUCCAUAAUGAGGAGGAGGAUCAGCUGCAAAAUACUGAAAUGUAGUAGAAUAUGACAAUAAUCCUGCACCUGAAGCCAAAGGGAAGGCAAUAUGGUGUGCCAAAUGCAAUGCCUCACAUUAUCUCCCCCGCCUUCCCCUGCUCGAUAAAAGCCUUGUCUGAAAGUAUUGCAGUGUGAGAGCACAUCUUUCAAUCAGUUAUUGCUUAUAUAUGAGGAUUUUUCUCAGGCUGUGAAAGAUAGAGGGUUGAUUGAGGUCAUCCAGUACCUUGCAGGUGGAAUAGACAUUUCAUUUCAAAUUCUUCAUGUCCAGAUCCACUAUGCUGCAUUAUUUUUAGUGCUUGUGGUAUGCAGUAAUGAAUUACUUUCUAAGGACUAUAGACAAGUUCUUUAAAAUCCCAGUAUGUGCUCUCUAUACAUAAACUACUUUAAACACUGUAAGCAUACUAAACUACUUUCAAUGUUUUUACAUACUUUAAUAUAGAAAAUGUCUUUGUUAUCCUAUGUAGGAUUUUUAUAUUAAGAAUGUUUUCUACACAGGUUUUUCUUCUGUGUCAUUAAACAAUUCUAGUAGAGUAUGAAGACAGACUGAUAGUUGUACUGCAUAUACCGGUCAAUGUUAUUACAUGUAAAACAAAUAUCCAUCCACAUUAGAAAAUGGAACUCCUCUACGUGUUUUUUUUUUCUAAUUUAACCACCUAUUUAUUUAUUUAUUUAUUUUAUUGCAAAAGUAACAUCUGUGCAAAAAAUAUAGCAGGUUCAAAUCAGUCAAAGGUUUUUACAAUGAUAGUAAAUAAGAAAUUGUGGUCUAUUGACCAUUAUAUCAGAACAAUGUCACUAAAUAAUGACAUUAACCUGACAUAGGAAUACAUUCCCCAAUUUUCCAGACAAAUAACACAAAUGAACACAUUGGGAUCUAGGUGUAAAUUGAAUUUCUAUUUCCAAAUAUCAGUAUGAAAUUUCAGUUUGCAAUUCAGAUUCUAUUCCUUUACCUGAGGUAGAAUUAAAAUAUAACGUAUAUAAUAUGUGCUCACUUACUGAAAAUUGAGUAUUAUCUUUCUUCUAUGCUUUUCAGCCUUGGAACAGUAAGAACAAGUUGCAGAAAGCUUUGUGGCUGGCUUUACUUUGUUAACAGUUAAUGGAUAACAUAAAUUAGUAUGAUGAUAUUGUCAGGAUUCUUGCAGUAAGCCAAAGAUGAAAUAUGGAUUCAGGCUAUAGAUCAAAUCCAAGUUAUCCAUCCAUCUGGUUGGCAAGUUCAAGACCUGUACAAGAAAUGCAUUUGGAUUGUUUUUUGUUAAGCUGUGGGCAAGACAUCUGCCCUGAACUCCUCUAGGCAGAAGAAUGAACAAAUUGGAAAAAUACACUGACAAGGGGUGGAAAUAGAUGGAUGAGGCCAAAAGAAAUUGAGGAUUCAUCUGUCUGAGUAAUUUUUAUAGUUCCCCUUUCACAUAUAGAGAGUUAGCAUUGUGUAGCAGUUGGAGUGUUGGACUGAACCUUGCACAAUCAUUGAAACCCAGUCAUACCCAGUGUUACAACAUACAUCUACCCACAUCAUGCCAAGAAACUCUCAUCAUAUGUUUGCUUUAAGCAGACACAACUUGAAAGUACACAGCAACAGGAACCACGAGUAACACAUUUAGGAGGGCUAGUCCAAUAUAUAGUCACUGUGAAAAUUCGACUUCCUCGGUCACCCCUGAUUCUGUGUAAUGGCAAAUCUCUUCGUUCAUACAUUCAAAAUGCAGUGUUUUUGUUUCAAUGAAUGUCUACUUUUGAUUAUGCCUACUGUAUGCGGCUGACUAACUCUUAAGGUACUACAGAAAUAAAGUGCUAAUCAUUUCUGAAACACAGA